GAUGAACGCUAGCUACAGGCUUAACACAUGCAAGUCGAGGGGAAACGAUAGAGAAAGCUUGCUUUUUCUAGGCGUCGACUGGCGCACGGGUGAGUAACGCGUAUCCAACCUGCCCAUCACUUGGGGAUAACCUUGCGAAAGUAAGACUAAUACCCAAUGAUAUCUCUAGAAGACAUCUGAAGGAGAUUAAAGAUUUAUCGGUGAUGGAUGGGGAUGCGUCUGAUUAGCUUGUUGGAGGGGUAACGGCCCAACAAGGCGACGAGCAGUAGGGGUUCUGAGAGGAAGGUCCCCCACAUUGGAACUGAGACACGGUCCAAACUCCUACGGGAGGCAGCAGUGAGGAAUAUUGGUCAAUGGGCGAGAGCCUGAACCAGCCAAGUAGCGUGCAGGAUGACGGCCCUAUGGGUUGUAAACUGCUUUUAUAAGGGAAUAAAGUGAGCCUCGUGAGGCUUUUUGCAUGUACCUUAUGAAUAAGGACCGGCUAAUUCCGUGCCAGCCGCCGCAGUAA
Molecule: ribosomal RNA, 508 nt
Filed under: uncultured bacterium
Lineage: Bacteria
Description: partial 16S ribosomal RNA
Rfam family: Bacterial small subunit ribosomal RNA
Source: RNAcentral